CAAAGUUCAUUCGAUUUGUGUAUUAGCCCAAGCAAAACUCCCGGAAGACGAAGAAGAAGAUGGUGAUGGCGUUUCUGUUCUGGCCAAGUACGUUGUUUUUCCGGCGACUAUGGCCUCCGCCGCCGUACGGUUCCUCUUCCUACAAACAGGGAAGAAGAGAUCAGUAGAAGGGAUUUGAACAAUCAAACAAUCUUUUCUCCUGAUGCAGGUGGCUGGGAAUUCGUGUGUGAAUCGUAGACCUCGUCCCCUUCUGAAUUUUCGAUUCGGUGUGUUAUCAUUCUUCUUCUAAUAACAUCUGGAACUCGUGUCUAGGAACAUGAGCAGUACCCGCAAGUACUCUUCGUGAAAACCCUUCAGAUAUAAACUUCUCUUUUGUUUUUUUCCGUGUUCGAAAACAUUUUCUACUGGGUUGGAUGAUAUUCUUGGCUUGGAUGCCCGAACGUCGGAUCUAAAUGAUCUGAUCAUCUUUCUCACCCUUAUUGUUGGGUUUGUGAGAAUAUAGAUAUUUGUUUGAUUGAUCUAUACAUCUUGAAUGUGAUUUGUGAGCUUUUGCUGCCUUCAGAGCUUAAACACGGCAUCGAACACAUCUGAUUCCACCAUGUCGGUUGAGGAAGUUGUCAUCGUUUACACAGCUUGCUUGAGUUUGGAAAUGUGAAACAUUUGAUUGAUGGGUAUUAGCCUCGUUAGGCUGUAGGGCAGCAUUGGGAGGAAUUCGUUUUCUCUCGGACCGAACAUAUCGAGCUUUUUGUUCGGUUGUGAAGUGCUUCGGCGGUUCGAAGUUCUUUCAGAGCAAGCAUUGUAAGUUUUGGUGUUGGGUCACAUGGGUUCUUCUCCCACUUCCUCUUCCCGUGGUGAUGUCGAUGCUGUUUGGUAACAAUGAUAAAAGCUCGUGAAGGGUGGUGCAGUGGUCAGUUGAUCUGCCGAGAAUGAGAGUUUCAUGUCGUUUUCACUUUCUAGCGAGGAAACUCGUGCCGUUUUCACGCUCUUACGCGGAUUCGCAGGGUAUCCGAAAAGUGCCCAAAACCGAUGAAAACGGAUGGAUUGUAGAUGAAAAAAAAUAAAUCUAUUCGAAUUUGGUUUUUGAUU
This is a long non-coding RNA of Tarenaya hassleriana, 1086 nucleotides long. RefSeq lists it as uncharacterized. The transcript is spliced from 3 exons. The record is from RefSeq and is a predicted model, not a curated record. Lineage: Eukaryota; Viridiplantae; Streptophyta; Magnoliopsida; Brassicales; Cleomaceae.